This 250-nucleotide ribosomal RNA is filed under the name uncultured bacterium. RNAcentral's name for it is "partial 16S ribosomal RNA". It matches the Rfam family "Bacterial small subunit ribosomal RNA", at positions 959 to 1208 of the family's 1533-position model. The record is from RNAcentral.
ACGCGAGGAACCUUACCAGGUCUUGACAUCCCUUGACAACCCAAGAGAUUGGGCGUUCCCCUUCGGGGGACAAGGUGACAGGUGGUGCAUGGUUGUCGUCAGCUCGUGUCGUGAGAUGUUGGGUUAAGUCCCGCAACGAGCGCAACCCUUGACCUUAGUUGCCAGCAUUGAGUUGGGCACUCUAAGGUGACUGCCGAUGACAAAUCGGAGGAAGGUGGGGAUGACGUCAAAUCAUCAUGCCCCUUAUGAC